GUAUAGCUCAGUAGUAGAGCGCAGCUUAGCAUGUAUGAGGUCCUGGGUUCAAUCCCCAGUAC
Molecule: transfer RNA, 62 nt
Filed under: Camelus bactrianus (Bactrian camel)
Lineage: Eukaryota; Metazoa; Chordata; Mammalia; Artiodactyla; Camelidae
Also listed under: 2 other names
Rfam family: tRNA
About the family: Transfer RNA (tRNA) molecules are approximately 80 nucleotides in length. Their secondary structure includes four short double-helical elements and three loops (D, anti-codon, and T loops).
Source: Rfam by way of RNAcentral